This 507-nucleotide ribosomal RNA is filed under the name uncultured bacterium. RNAcentral describes it as "bacterial SSU rRNA". It matches the Rfam family "Bacterial small subunit ribosomal RNA", at positions 8 to 507 of the family's 1533-position model. The record is from RNAcentral.
AGAGUUUGAUCAUGGCUCAGAUUGAACGCUGGCGGCAUGCUUUACACAUGCAAGUCGAACGGCAGCACGGGGGGCAACCCUGGUGGCGAGUGGCGAACGGGUGAGUAAUAUAUCGGAACGUACCCGGAAAUGGGGGAUAACGUAGCGAAAGUUACGCUAAUACCGCAUAUGCCCUAAGGGGGAAAGCGGGGGAUUCGCAAGAACCUCGCGUUUUCGGAGCGGCCGAUAUCGGAUUAGCUAGUAGGUGAGGUAAAGGCUCACCUAGGCGACGAUCCGUAGCUGGUCUGAGAGGACGACCAGCCACACUGGAACUGAGACACGGUCCAGACUCCUACGGGAGGCAGCAGUGGGGAAUUUUGGACAAUGGGCGCAAGCCUGAUCCAGCCAUGCCGCGUGAGUGAAGAAGGCCUUCGGGUUGUAAAGCUCUUUCAGCCGGAAAGAAAACGCACGGGUUGAUAACCUGUGUGGAUGACGGUACCGGAAGAAGAAGCACCGGCUAACUACGUG